Molecule: ribosomal RNA, 427 nt
Filed under: uncultured Chlamydiae bacterium
Lineage: Bacteria; Pseudomonadati; Chlamydiota; Chlamydiia
Description: bacterial SSU rRNA
Rfam family: Bacterial small subunit ribosomal RNA
Source: RNAcentral
AACGCGAAGAACCUUACCUGGGCUCGAAAUGCAGAGGGAGAUGCCAGAAAUGGCUUCGUCCGCAAGGACUUCUGUAUAGGUGCUGCAUGGCUGUCGUCAGCUCGUGCCGUGAGGUGUUUGGUUAAGUCCAGCAACGAGCGCAACCCUUAUCAUUAGUUGCCAACACGUAAGGUGGGGACUCUAAUGAGACUGCCUAGGUUAACUAGGAGGAAGGCGAGGAUGACGUCAAGUCCGCAUGGCCUUUAUGUCCAGGGCUACACACGUGCUACAAUGGUCGGUACAGAGGGCUGCAAGACCGCAAGGUGGAGCAAAUCCCAGAAAGCCGAUCUCAGUUCAGAUUGUGGACUGCAACUCGUCCACAUGAAGUCGGAAUUGCUAGUAAUGGCGUGUCAGCAAUAACGCCGUGAAUACGUUCCCGGGCCUUGUA